RNAcentral lists this transfer RNA (28 nucleotides) under Camptosema grandiflorum. Its description in RNAcentral is "partial tRNA-Leu". Lineage: Eukaryota; Viridiplantae; Streptophyta; Magnoliopsida; Fabales; Fabaceae. The record is from RNAcentral.
GCCGCUAUGGGGAAAUUGGUAGACACGC